RNAcentral lists this ribosomal RNA (512 nucleotides) under uncultured bacterium. RNAcentral's name for it is "bacterial SSU rRNA". It matches the Rfam family "Bacterial small subunit ribosomal RNA", at positions 970 to 1482 of the family's 1533-position model. The record is from RNAcentral.
CUUACCUACUCUUGACAUCCAGAGAACUUAGCAGAGAUGCUUUGGUGCCUUCGGGAACUCUGAGACAGGUGCCGCAUGGCUGUCGUCAGCUCGUGUUGUGAAAUGUUGGGUUAAGUCCCGCAACGAGCGCAACCCUUAUCCUUUGUUGCCAGCGAUUCGGUCGGGAACUCAAAGGAGACUGCCGGUGAUAAACCGGAGGAAGGUGGGGAUGACGUCAAGUCAUCAUGGCCCUUACGAGUAGGGCUACACACGUGCUACAAUGGCGUAUACAAAGAGAAGCGACCUCGCGAGAGCAAGCGGAACUCAUAAAGUACGUCGUAGUCCGGAUUGGAGUCUGCAACUCGACUCCAUGAAGUCGGAAUCGCUAGUAAUCGUAGAUCAGAAUGCUACGGUGAAUACGUUCCCGGGCCUUGUACACACCGCCCGUCACACCAUGGGAGUGGGUUGCAAAAGAAGUAGGUAGCUUAACCUUCGGGAGGGCGCUUACCACUUUGUGAUUCAUGACUGGGGUG